GACGAACGCUGGCGGCGUGCUUAACACAUGCAAGUCGAACGGAAAGGCCCUGCUUGCAGGGUACUCGAGUGGCGAACGGGUGAGUAACACGUGGGUGAUCUGCCCUGCACUUCGGGAUAAGCCUGGGAAACUGGGUCUAAUACCGGAUAGGAGCCAUUUUUAGUGUGAUGGUUGGAAAGUUUUUUCGGUGUAGGAUGAGCUCGCGGCCUAUCAGCUUGUUGGUGGGGUAAUGGCCUACCAAGGCGGCGACGGGUAGCCGGCCUGAGAGGGUGGACGGCCACAUUGGGACUGAGAGACGGCCCAGACUCCUACGGGAGGCAGCAGUGGGGAAUAUUGCACAAUGGGCGCAAGCCGGAUGCAGCGACGCCGCGGGGGGGAGGACGGCCUUCGGGUUGUAAACGCCUUUCGCUAGGGACGAAGCUUUUUGUGACGGUACCUAGAGAAGAAGCACCGGCUAACUACGUG
Molecule: ribosomal RNA, 465 nt
Filed under: uncultured bacterium
Lineage: Bacteria
Description: partial 16S ribosomal RNA
Rfam family: Bacterial small subunit ribosomal RNA
Source: RNAcentral